RNAcentral lists this ribosomal RNA (892 nucleotides) under Pseudocercospora cladosporioides. Its description in RNAcentral is "LSU rRNA". It matches the Rfam family "Eukaryotic large subunit ribosomal RNA", at positions 38 to 962 of the family's 3401-position model. Lineage: Eukaryota; Fungi; Ascomycota; Dothideomycetes; Mycosphaerellales; Mycosphaerellaceae. The record is from RNAcentral.
GCAUAUCAAUAAGCGGAGGAAAAGAAACCAACAGGGAUUGCCCUAGUAACGGCGAGUGAAGCGGCAACAGCUCAAAUUUGAAAUCUGGCGCAAGCCCGAGUUGUAAUUUGUAGAGGAUGCUUCUGGGUAGCGGCCGGUCUAAGUUCCUUGGAACAGGACGUCAUAGAGGGUGAGAAUCCCGUAUGUGACUGGCUUGCACCCUCCACGUAGCUCCUUCGACGAGUCGAGUUGUUUGGGAAUGCAGCUCUAAAUGGGAGGUAAAUUUCUUCUAAAGCUAAAUACCGGCCAGAGACCGAUAGCGCACAAGUAGAGUGAUCGAAAGAUGAAAAGCACUUUGGAAAGAGAGUUAAAAAGCACGUGAAAUUGUUGAAAGGGAAGCGCCCGCAACCAGACUUUGCGGCAGUGUUCGGCCGGUCUUCUGACCGGUUUACUCGCUGUCGUGAGGCCAUCAUCGUCUGGGACCGCUGGAUAAGACCUUAGGAAUGUGGCUCCCCUCGGGGAGUGUUAUAGCCUCUGGUGAUGCAGCGCGUCUCGGGCGAGGUCCGCGCUCCGGCAAGGAUGAUGGCGUAAUGGUUGUCGGCGGCCCGUCUUGAAACACGGACCAAGGAGUCUAACAUCUAUGCGAGUGUUCGGGUGUCAAACCCCUACGCGUAAUGAAAGUGAACGGAGGUGGGAACUUUUUGUGCACCAUCGACCGAUCCUGAUGUCCUCGGAUGGAUUUGAGUAAGAGCAUAGCUGUUGGGACCCGAAAGAUGGUGAACUAUGCCUGAAUAGGGUGAAGCCAGAGGAAACUCUGGUGGAGGCUCGCAGCGGUUCUGACGUGCAAAUCGAUCGUCAAAUUUGGGUAUAGGGGCGAAAGACUAAUCGAACCAUCUAGUAGCUGGUUCCUGCG